UCCUGGAGGCAGCGCCGCAGGGUCCUGCAGCCUGCUGCCUUGAAAACCUCCUGGAGAUCUGUGUUCUCGAAGACAUUUUGAGGGACAAUUCCCAGAAGCCUCAGUCAGCUGAGGCAAUUCAGGAUGCAGGAGGAGCAAAAUCAUGGAGUUGGAGAGGAAAAUGCUACCCUUGGGGAGCAGGAGCCAAGGGCUGGGCAGCAAAAAUGAGGGACUGGGAGCAAAGCACAAUCUUUGACCCAUAUGAGAGCCAGUGGCCUGAAUCCUCAGCUGAAGAAGCAAAGCGGCUGAAGGGCAGCAUUGGUGGGGUUUGGCUCCUUUUUUGUGUUGUGGGGCAGCUCAAGCCUUUUUCCUUUGCAUCUUGCGGGAGGCUCUGGAGAUGUUGCUCUCAGGGGGUCCUCCAACAGCUCAAGGCCAUCCCUUGGCUGAUUAUCAUUAUGCAGGCUCUGAUAGAUGGACACCUGAGGAGAAGGAGGCCUUCCAAAAGGCUUUCCACACCUACGGCAAGGAUUUCCAUCUCAUCCAGAAGCAGAUCCCGAGUAAGACUGUGGCACAGUGUGUGGAGUACUACUACCGCUGGAAAAAAGAGCAGAAACUUGCCAGCAGCACUCUUGCUCACGUGAGUGGGAAGAAAAUCCAGACAUGCCAGCAGGGUCAAGAAACUGGCAGAAGGGGACAAACCCUGCUGUCAAGCCACACCACAUGCCGCUUUGCCAGGUUCCCUUGGUCCCACGCACUGGGAGAGGCGCAGCAGGUGCUGCCCAGACUUUUGUUGUGCUGCUGCCCUGAAAUACGGAAUUGUGGAGCACAACUUUGACCCAACAAAGCAGCACCACCAUCAAAAUGGGCUUUGACUCUCUACAAAUCGGUUUCUCAAGGGCUGGCACCCUCAGAUUCCAAUCACACCUUUCAUUCCCCACUGCUUGCUAACAUCAGCCAUCUGGGCUGCCUUCAUGGAGAUGCUGCCAAAUUUUAGAGAUCUUUUGUAGCACCCCAGCGU
Passer domesticus (house sparrow) is the source of this 997-nucleotide long non-coding RNA. RefSeq lists it as uncharacterized. The transcript has 3 exons. Lineage: Eukaryota; Metazoa; Chordata; Aves; Passeriformes; Passeridae. The record is from RefSeq and is a predicted model, not a curated record.